GAUGAAGAACGCAGCGAAAUGCGAUAAGUAGUGUGAAUUGCAGAAUUCAGUGAAUCAUCGAAUCUUUGAACGCACAUUGCGCCCCUUGGUAUUCCAUGGGGCAUGCCUGUUCGAGCGCCAUUUGUACCCUCAAGCUUUGCUUGGUGUUGGGCGUUUUGUCUGUUUAUUCAGACUCGCCUUAAAGUAAUUGGCAGCCAGUGUUUUUGGUAGUAAGCGCAGCACAUUUUGCGUCUUAGUCUCUAAACAGUGGCAUCCAUGAAGCCUCUUUCUCACUUUUGACCUCGGAUCAGGUAGGGAUACCCGCUGAACUUAAGCAUAUCAAUAAGCGGAGGA
This 333-nucleotide unclassified non-coding RNA is filed under the name soil metagenome. RNAcentral describes it as "partial contains 5.8S ribosomal RNA, internal transcribed spacer 2, and large subunit ribosomal RNA". The stretch from base 1 to 120 matches the Rfam family "5.8S ribosomal RNA", at positions 35 to 154 of the family's 154-position model. The record is from RNAcentral.